Molecule: ribosomal RNA, 254 nt
Filed under: uncultured bacterium
Lineage: Bacteria
Description: partial 16S ribosomal RNA
Rfam family: Bacterial small subunit ribosomal RNA
Source: RNAcentral
UACGAAGGGGGCUAGCGUUGCUCGGAAUUACUGGGCGUAAAGCGCACGUAGGCGGCUUUGUAAGUUAGAGGUGAAAGCCCGGAGCUCAACUCCGGAAUUGCCUUUAAGACUGCAUCGCUUGAAUCCAGGAGAGGUGAGUGGAAUUCCGAGUGUAGAGGUGAAAUUCGUAGAUAUUCGGAAGAACACCAGUGGCGAAGGCGGCUCACAUGGACUGGUAUUGACGCUGAGGUGCGAAAGCGUGGGGAGCAAACAGG